Molecule: ribosomal RNA, 546 nt
Filed under: uncultured bacterium
Lineage: Bacteria
Description: partial 16S ribosomal RNA
Rfam family: Bacterial small subunit ribosomal RNA
Source: RNAcentral
UGGGGAAUUUUGGACAAUGGGCGAAAGCCUGAUCCAGCAAUGCCGCGUGUGUGAAGAAGGCCUUCGGGUUGUAAAGCACUUUUGUCCGGAAAGAAAUCCUUGGCUCUAAUACAGUCGGGGGAUGACGGUACCGGAAGAAUAAGCACCGGCUAACUACGUGCCAGCAGCCGCGGUAAUACGUAGGGUGCAAGCGUUAAUCGGAAUUACUGGGCGUAAAGCGUGCGCAGGCGGUUUGCUAAGACCGAUGUGAAAUCCCCGGGCUCAACCUGGGAACUGCAUUGGUGACUGGCAGGCUAGAGUAUGGCAGAGGGGGGUAGAAUUCCACGUGUAGCAGUGAAAUGCGUAGAGAUGUGGAGGAAUACCGAUGGCGAAGGUAGCCCCUGGGCCAAUACUGACGCUCAUGCACGAAAGCGUGGGGAGCAAACAGGAUUAGAUACCCUGGUAGUCCACGCCCUAAACGAUGUCAACUAGUUGUUGGGGAUUCAUUUCCUUAGUAACGUAGCUAACGCGUGAAGUUGACCGCCUGGGGAGUACGGUCGCAAGAUU